Molecule: long non-coding RNA, 1057 nt
Organism: Daphnia pulex (common water flea)
Lineage: Eukaryota; Metazoa; Arthropoda; Branchiopoda; Diplostraca; Daphniidae
Exons: 4
Source: RefSeq, a predicted model, not a curated record
UCGUUCAUAUAGUGAGACAUCAAGUUAGUUUCGAUCAUUCAAAAUGCAUUUCAAAAUUUAUCUCAAAAUACAAAUCACUGGUCGCCUAUUAACUGUGUGUGCAAAAUUUUGCCGGUUAAAAUUGGAACAGGAAUUCACCUAAACAGCGAGUUUAAUUACAAUAAAAUGCUUUUUACUUCAGCUCUGUCAGACUGUUUUUGUUUUUAGCUGAACUUGCAGAGCGAGCGCUAGAUGGCGAGGUGUCGUAAAAGAGAAAAAGUGUGAAACGGAUUGCCAUACUACAGUGUCGUAAUUCGCGCAAUAAUCUUCCCAACUGUCAAGUGUCAAUAGACCACAACCAAUUCUUAGGAUCUAUUUGUCUUAGAUUCAUCUCCCGAAUCAAAAGAAAGUUCUUGCCCUUAACUAGAUUGAACAAAAAACAAAACCACUAGUAAAUUCCAAAAAAUUGUAGUCGACUUUGUUAAGUUUGUCACUACAGAUUUUUUUCCGUUCCCGAAUAGAGAGGGAAUGCUACAACAGACUAACAUCUUAAUUUCCAAUUUCUCCAUCUGAACUUUCAGCCGCCAUCCAUUUUUUCAAUUCUUCAGCCUGCUUGGUUACUGGAUUGAUCUACGAUAAAGUUUAAGAACUGUUCAAUUGUUGAGCAACCCACUUCCAUCUGAAAUUGAAGUAAAGGAAUGUCCUCAAUGCUUCUGACAUACAUAUACUUGUUAGUCAAGUCAGGAAACUCAUCGUUGCCUUCAGAAUUCUCUAUACUGACCUGCUCUCUAUACUGAUCUCUAUACUGAUCGCUGCUCAAUUGGAAUUCAUAAAGAUAUGAAAAAGUUGCUGGGUUUCGUAAUCGCUGUCAGCGUUCAUCAAUUUCAUGAAAGCGAUAUUCUAUCUGCUAAUGGAGUCGUUUUUGGACCAAUUGAAAAACAUAACAAUCUUUUAACUGCCAUGGAACGACUAUCCCUAAGGUUUCCUGGAAAGAUUGCUGUGAAAUUAAAAAUGCCAUAUUCAACUAUUCCUGCACCAGUUUUUUUUUUUAAAUAUUUCAAUUACCUAAUUUAUAAUU